Neolamprologus brichardi is the source of this 850-nucleotide non-coding RNA. Lineage: Eukaryota; Metazoa; Chordata; Actinopteri; Cichliformes; Cichlidae. The record is from RefSeq and is a predicted model, not a curated record.
GUAUCGAAACUGUGUGAAGUGCUGCAAAAAUAUAUAGCAAGACUGGCUGCUGUUUUUUCAGAUUUGAGCGGGCGUUUCUGUGCUAAGUCUCCCUUUUCCGGAAUAUGUAAAAUUAAAGAUAAUUUUUUGAGUUAGACCACUUUGAGCUGUGUCUUUUUUGGCCGUUAAAGAAUACAAAGAACUGGAUUUAAUAGUUGUAGUAUGUAGAGUUGUCCCCAGCUUACAACAGCCAAACUCAUCUAUCUGCCUUCGUCCCAGCACAUCACACAAAGCAGGAGAUUCACUCUUUAUCACAGAAACAAAGUGAUUUAGUGUGCAGCAUCCACACUUGUUCCAGUUGCCCCCAAAUCAACACAAAACAGUUUGUUAUGGUUACAAAACACACAAUGAAGUAACUUCAACAAAUGUUAAUAUGGAAUAAAAGUAAAACAUGAGGAAUAAAAGCAGUCUGGCUCUUUAAGAACAGAGAGGAUUUUCCUCUGUGGGUUUAUCUUUGAAUGCAGUGAAUCAGUCUUCACUGAUAAAGUUUAUGGAUCUGAGCUGCUAACUGACAAACUAUCUGCUUUUUGUUUAGGUUGUAAUGGAAAUGAAUUUAUAUAUAAUAGUGAUUGCACAAGAUUCAGAGAACCCUACUGACAACACAACCUUUCUGAAACACUUCAACCAGAACCUGCAGAGCAACAAUGAAACAUGUUCCUUUUCUUUGUACAGUUUUGGGGCUGAUUGUUCUUUAAACACCAAACUGUCCAUAAAUGAUUUGACCUUUUCAUGCACUCAAUACAUGAUGUGCACACUGAAUCCAUAAAGUGUCGAUGGCUGGCUGAGGUCUGAAUAAAAUGUUUCAUCAUCA